RNAcentral lists this ribosomal RNA (354 nucleotides) under Triticum aestivum (bread wheat). RNAcentral's name for it is "partial small subunit ribosomal RNA". The record is from RNAcentral. Lineage: Eukaryota; Viridiplantae; Streptophyta; Magnoliopsida; Poales; Poaceae.
AUGUCCGGCCCCGACCUACGAGGCCGGUGGACAGAGGAGGACGUGCUAAAGCUAAGAGACGCCAGGUACUUAACCUACGAGAUUUCGCAUAGGCUGCCUGCCCGAGGGCAAGUUAUUCCUACUCCCGAGCGCGGCGAGAGCGUCGUGUUUGUGUCUCACCUCCGUCGGGGUUUAGGCUUCCCGACGGAUCCCUUCGUGAGGGGGCUCAUGUUUUACUAUGGGAUGGAAUUCCAUGACUUGGCUCCGGAGUCUAUCCUCCACAUCUCAUCAUUCAUUGUCGUCUGCGAAGCCUUCCUCGCACUACCCCUCACUUCGGUUUGUGGCUCAAAACCUUCAACGUGGAGCCGAAGGUGA